RNAcentral lists this long non-coding RNA (6226 nucleotides) under Mus musculus (house mouse). Its description in RNAcentral is "predicted gene, 34788". Lineage: Eukaryota; Metazoa; Chordata; Mammalia; Rodentia; Muridae. The record is from RNAcentral.
GGCCUUGGCUUCCUGCUACACACUGAUGGCAGACUCUUGUCUCACAAAAUGACUUUUCCCAGUCUCUAUCAUUUCUUCUGUGCUGUGCCCUUCAGACUGGAGUUCCUAGUGUCCAGCCUCCACGGGAGAAGCCACAGAGCAACGCCAGGCUCAUGUUUUGAAUGUUUGGCUCCCCGUUGGUGGCUCUGACUUACGAGGCUGUGGAACCCCCUUUAAAGUGAUAAAGCCCUUCUGGCAGAGGUAGGCCACUAAGGAUGGACCUUUGAAGGUUAUAGCUGACUCCUCCUCUCUGGUCCUGCUUCCUGGGUCUUCAGGAUGUAAGGCGCAUCCACCACGCAUCCCCGCUGCCAUGAACCCCACUCUGCCUUUCUCACCAUGAGCCAAGAUAAAUCAGUCCAUUAUAAGUUCCAGGCUUUCUGUUAUAGCCAUGCAAAAGAAAAUAACACAGGUAGGUUAAGCUAAUGUCACUGGAUAUUAAUGAAACCAAAUGGCCAGACUCUUACAAAUAUCAUUUCUUAUAUUUCAAGGCAUCACAGCCUGGCUUCUUCAUCUUUGUUAUAUUUCUGGAUUAGUUUAUACCAUUUGAAAACAUUUUUGAAUAUUCAAAACACAGCUUUUUCUGGCCUCAGCCUGAGUCUUGGGCUUGGGAUAGUCUGGGCAGCCGUGGAGAACAUGAGUUUUAAGUCUGGAGAGGAGAGUUCCAAGGGUGGGGGUCCUCCUGGUGAAACUCAAGGCUGUGGCAAGAACUUAUCUUUGAUUGCCCACGUGAACUUCACAUAGCAGCUUCUCACCAAUAGCCCACUUAGCCUGGGCCUGCAUGGGGGUCAGGUGGGGUGGGGGGUAAGGUGGGGAAAGUUGGGGUGGGGGCAGGGAUGUGACAGGGGCUGGGGGAUAGGACACACACACACACUCUCUCACACACCAUGACAGUGACAGUGCACUCCAUCAACAACAGGCUGGAGGUUGGUGCUAGCUCUGGGUGAGGGAAGCCCUAAGCUGAUGUGUGUGGCAACUGAGGCAUUAGAUUAGUAGAGAGAAAGAAGGCAAGAUGGCUCACUGUAAGUGUCAAAGCACUUACAGCUAAGCUGAUCGUACAGUAGAAGAAGAUUGGUCCUAAAGUUGUCGUCUCACCUUCACAUGUCUGUUGUGGGAUGUUCAUGCACACACAUGCAGAGAAGUUAAAAAACAAACCACAAAAUUAGAGGAUUAUUAUUGUUGUUGUUGUUAUUAUUAUUUGUGGGAUAUGAUGGUUUGUAUACGCUUGCCCCAGGGAGUGGCACUAUUAUAAGGUGUGGCCCUGUUGGAGUAGGUGUGGCCUUCUUGGAGUAGGUGUGUCACUGUGGGCUUUAAGACUAGCUGCCUGGAAGCCAGUCUUCUGCUUAGCAGCCUUCAGAUGAAGAUGUAGAAGUCUCAGCUCCUCUUGCACCAUGCCUGCCUGGAUGCUGCCAUGCUCCCAUCUUGAUGAUACUGGACUAAAGCUCUGAACCUGUAAGCCAGCCCCAGUUAAAUGUUGUCCUUAUAAGAGUUGCCUUGGUCAUGGUGUCUGCUCACAACAGUAAAAUCCUAACUAAAACAAAGGAGAAAUGCUUUGAACAGGAAACACACACACACACACACACACACACACAGAGAGAGAGAGAGAGAGAGAGAGAGAAACGCAAGGUGGAGUCACUUUCAGGACCUGGAUCUGUAGAUCUGUGGGUCUGGAACAAUCAGUGGAUACUCCAGGAACGAAGAUCCCAAAGCGUGAGCUGUCCAGGAUUGUAAGGAAGGAGGGGAUAUUGCUGCGCAGAUACAAGAUCUGCACUUGAUGAUUUGUGUGGACGCUUAUCCACCAGAUGUCAGCCGAGUGUCUCGUUUGAACAAGUUCAAAAUAUCGUCUUACAUCUGAGAAAGAGGAGGAAAGGAGAGUCUAUUCCCAAGCAUCCUACCCCUCGAGGGACUCCACAUCCCCAACCGGUACAAGCAGAAGAAGUGGAGUGAGUCACUGGUCAUGCAUUCUGUUAUCAUCCAUGUUUGCAUCUGUUUUUCUUGCAAGCCUCCACUUCCCCUCUAAAUCAGUCAUUUAUAUCCUCAUCUAAAUUAUGUAAAAACACUGUUGUAAGUUAAAGACUGCUUGCAAGAGCAAAAGCCAGCUUCACCUACGCACCCUGCUCUCGAUUCUAUUUCUUGGAUGGGCCAUGCUCAUUUCUUGUCAUAUGUGUUUGAGUACACUAGCCAGGGUUAGUGGUGCUUGCUGCUGUAACCAAAAACAUCCGAAUAAUGGCAGCCCAGUGGCAGGGUCUUGGUUCUCCUCAGAGAAGGCCUGCAGGAAGAGAGUGGUUGCUGGCCACUCAUGUGGGGACUCAGUCAUGCUUCUGUUGAUGUUCUGUGUACUAUCUUCAUCCCGGGCUUUCAAGUCUUCUCUGGAAGAAGAGGAAACGGGGUUGGUGUGCUGAAAUGUGGGAGAGGCUUUAUGCUGGAGCAAGAUGCACUCUCAGUUCUCUCAGCUCUCACAGACCGCAAGAAAGAGCCCAGCACAAAAGGGCAGGCUAUUGCGGAGAACUAGGAGCAUGGAGUUUAGCUGAGGUCCCAAGAAGGGCCAGAGAAGCACAGCGCAUUGCCCUUACCACUGUGGGACUGAAGACCUGGGAUAUCUUUCACAAGGCAUUUGAAGAGCCAAAUGUCAGAUAAGUAGAUCUGCAGACCCUGUGUGCUGAAGCCGUGGGUUCUAGACAUCCCCUGGAGGGUUUCCUAAUGUGUUAGCUGUCAUGCUUCCCCAGGUCUCAGCAGGCAAGCGGCCUCUGGCUAAGUGCCACUAAACCUCUCCUAAGAUGUUCUUUUCUUAGAUCUGGGUCUGAGUGAGUGGGACCCCAUCCUCUAGUAACGUCACCAUUACUGCCAAAGGGAGGGCUGGGGCGGGGGAAAGAGCAGAUGGAUCUCCUGUGCCCAUCCCUGCUCCGGCCUGACCGCUGCUGUGCUCACCCCCUCCCUGCCUGACCGCUGCUCUUUCACCACAUUUUUUAAAACAUCCCUCUGAGUGUCAGGCACCAGAGGCACCUUGGGAGCCUCGCUGGGCUGCAGCGCAGGGAGCAUCGCUGGGCAGCCGGCACGCGCUAACUGGAUAUGCUCAGGUCUGUCUGGAUCGCCUCUGAAACAUUACUAACUUCAGAUCUUGAUUUUUUUCCUUAGAAGUGAAGCCAAGUUAUGAAGCCAGCAUUCCUGUCAAUCCUAAUCCCCGACUCCAUCUUCAUCCAUGGAUUGUCCAAGACACGGUGGUGGCACUGGCUGGAUCCUUGUGAGGAUUGCAUGACACCUCAAUGGUGGGAGCAGAUAGCAAGGAGGAGAAAUGAUGAGGUAAGGCUGGAAGCUGGAUGUGAGCCGGUGAGACCGGAAGCUGGAUAUGAGAUGGUGAGACCGGAAGCUGCAUGCGGUCAGGUAGGGGAGCAGGAUUGCCCUCUAUUGUGGUAAGAGCCACUUACGGUCCCCUCCCCCCACCAGUGCUACUUCCCAUUGUAUUCCAUGUCCUACACAUGAUCUUUGACAAGAUCCUAGGGCUUGUCAAACCACCAGUACCCAACAUAUGAGCCCUUGGGGAGGAUGCUCAGAUCCUAUCCAAACCACGGCCCGUGCUCUCCACUUGCAUCUCGCUCUUGGAACAGCAGCCCUUCUCUUCAGCCCCUUCAGCCAUCUCAUUCCUUCAAUCUCCUUUACUGUCUGCUUGUUUCCUUGAGAGCUCACAUUGCAGCUCACUCUUCCAGGGACCAGAGUCUUCCCCGGCGAUGCUAAAUUUGGACUCUACUGCUCUGCCUUCGUAUCUCUGUGAAUAAGUCGUGUGAUUUUUUUUUGUCUCAAUCUUUCAAAAGGCUUUGCAAUAAUGAUUCAACUCAGUGUAUGUGGUAUCAAUGGAGCAUACAAACUCACCAUGGAGUUCACGCGUGUCCAAGCAAUUAGGAGGCUAACCACCCUGUGAAAAACACAUAUCCCAGAGGCAACGAAAUUAGCAUCUAGGCGGCAGCAUCUUUAUAAUGAAGAUUUAAUCUGAUCUUUUCGAAGACGAUAUAAGCAGUCUGCACACUUCUUAAGGAAGUACCAGUGUUCCUUUAUAAGAUGGCUGCAAAUCUGUUCUAAAAUAGUGUCUGCUACUUCAGUUAAAGUUCAAGGAAAAUUGUCCUUAAAAAGAAAACAAAUUGAAUACCAUAAGAUACAGGUAAUUUAUUAGACUUAAAAAAAAUCUCAUUAUUUUUUUUUUUUAAAAAGUGUGGAGAUGGGUACUUGGCCUGUGUAUGUCUGCGCACCAUGUGUAUAGUCCCUGCUGAGCCAGAGGAGAACAUGGCUCCUCUGGAACUGGAGUUAGAGAUGGUUGUGAGCUGCCACAUGGGUGUUGGGAAUAGAAUCUGGGUCGUCUGCAAACACGGCCAGCACUUUCAACUGCUUAGUUAUCUCUCCGGCCCCCUUCUGAUUCUUAAUUGCUAUAUAGUUGCAACAUAAUAAAAGAAUUCUAUCUGUCAUGAGUAUUGACAAAGCUGUAACAUGGCUUGAACACAGAUACCUAAGACAUCACAGGAAGAAGUCAGUUUUGACUUAAGGAGUCCUGACUGGAAGAGGCAACCUUCUAGUGAACUGUUCCUCUGGGCAGUGUUGGGCCUUAUUCGUCUGGAUACUGAGGCCUAGUGGGGAAGCCUGAGUCUUUGCUCGAGUUUAGAGACCUGUCUUGUUCACUUCCAUACUGGAGUGGCUCAGCACAACCUACUUAAGCCUGCCUUUGCCUAGCUACCACUGAUGUAGAAUAACUUUAUUGGCCCUGUCAGUCACCCCAUACCCUCCAUCACCCUUCCCCGGCCCCUACCUCAUCUCACCUCACCAAAAAUCCCCACCUCCUUCCUCAACCCUAUAUAAACAAAAGACUGAUGCAAUAAAAUGAGUUCCUGCUUUGAUAGACUCCCAGCCCCUGGCAUGUUUGUUUUGGGCCACUCAGCCUUGGAGGGACUAGGCUAGACUGGGUUCUCUCCUCUCACCUGGACUCGCUAGCAGAUAGCUGACAGGGCUGGACAUAGGGCUCAGUGGGAGAGUGCUAAUCUAGUAUGAUAAAACUUUGAGUACAGCUUUCAUCAACACGUGUACAUGCAUGCACAUACGCACACAUUCACACACACAUUCACACACAUGCAUGCAUACAUUCACACAUUUGCAUACACGUGUGUGCAUACACAUUACAAAGAAACAUGUUAGGUCAGAUAAGCAAUUUAAAGUUGGAGACAUGCUAAACACAUGACUACAAACAUACAUUGCAUCUCAAUGUGUUUUAGGUAGAGGCUUCUCCUCCAGCCUAUAGAAUAAUACACACACGGACAGUACCAUUAUCUUACCUUAGUAUUCGGCUGGUUUUGAAAAGCAAUAAACACCAGUCCUGUAUUUUACCUUUUGUGAGAGUUUGGAUGAAUAUGGCCCCAUAGGUCUGUAGGGAGUAGCACCAUUAGGAGGUAUGGUGCUGUUGGUGUUGGUGUGGCCUUGUUGGAGGAAAUGUGUCACUUGGGGUAGGCUUCGAGGGUUAAGGAGCUCAAGCCAGGCCCAGUGACUGACUGUCUUUUGCUGCUGCCUAUGGAUCCAGAUGUAGAACUCUCAGCUACCUCUCCAGCACCAUGUCUGCCUGUGUACCACCAUGCUUCUGACCAUGACCGUAAUAGACUAAACCUCUGAACCAUAAGCCAACCUCAGUUAAGUAUUUUCCUUUAUAAGAGUUGACAUGGUUAUGGUGUCUAUUCACCGCAAUGAACCCCUAACUAAGCCACCUUUCAAGAAAAGGCAUUUCUACAACUAUUUAUGUGCAGACAAGCCCAGACACAAUCAACUAGCUUUCUUUCUUCUUAACAGUCUUUUCCCUAGAGCUUCUGAAAUCUUUGCAUUUAAAAACCAGUUAACCAAGACAGGAGAGAGAAGCCCAUGGAAACUACCCAGUGUCUUAAACGCGUUCUCGCGACCGGCCAGGAAGAACGCAGCAAACCAGAAUCUUCUGCGGCAAAAGCUUUAUUGCUUACAUCUUCAGGAGCCAGAGAGCAAGAGCCAGAGCAAGAGUCAGAGCAAGAGAGAGAAAGAAAGCAAGAAAAAGAACAAGAACAAGAAAGCAAGAGAAGAGAGAGAAAAAGCAAGAACAAGAGAGAGAAAAAGCAUGAGCAAGAGAGAGAAAAAACAUGGCAAAACCCCGUCCCUUUUAAGGAGAAUUAUCCUCCGCCUAGGACGUAUUACU